This is a long non-coding RNA of Athene cunicularia (burrowing owl), 1854 nucleotides long. RefSeq lists it as uncharacterized. The record is from RefSeq and is a predicted model, not a curated record. Lineage: Eukaryota; Metazoa; Chordata; Aves; Strigiformes; Strigidae. The transcript is spliced from 4 exons.
AUGAACAGAACUAACUGCUUUGAUCCAGGAAUCUGAAAAGAUGCCUUUAGAGAGGGAAGUGGUUGAUGGCCAGUUGAUGAAUGCUUGGAAGAAACAUGAUGUACAUGGCAGAGAAGUAACAACGUAUGAAGGCUGCUUCUGGGACUAAGGGCUUCAGGAAGAAGUUCUCCCCUCAGCAGUAAUGCUGACUUCAGUGCCAGUUAACCAUCUGCUUUUCAUUCUUUACUUGACCUGAAUGAAGUUAGACUUGGAUUUCCCCCUUGAAUGAUUCCACAUGUGGGUCCUGGACACCAAUGUGAUCUUCCAGGAGAGCCAGGGUAAACACCACAACAAGGUCAACUUUAGGCUUGGACACCAAUGGCUGAAUUACUCAAGGAAGUGAGCCUUCUGAGAAGCAAGUAUAAGCAUUUCAAGCCACUCACCCCGAUUUUAGCGAGCUGCCCCACCACAGAGCCCACAGCACCAGCUGCAGCAUUAACCAGCACUGUCUCUCCUGGCUUCAUCUUGCAGACCUCCAGAAGACCAAAAUAUGCAGUGAGGCUGUGAAGAAAAAGAAAGAAUGCUCAGUGAGGAAUAAAAGACACCAGACAGAGAUGUGACUUGGCCACACUGAACCAAAAUAUCUUCACAAUCAGAACAAGAUUCAGUUUUCCUCAUUCUUUAUGAAAUACAAAAGGCAGAAGUCUACCUGAGGUGAAAACAGCUUUCUUUGUGCUUACUCGUCAGAAGGAGAAGCACAGAGAGAACUCAGCAAGGUGACAAUUCAGUUACACACUGGAGGAGAGAGUAAAUCCAAGAUAGACAGAGGUCAGUAGUCAGCUGGUAUCUACCAGAUUGAAGCAAAGAUUAAAUGAUACUCAUCACAAAUCAAAGCUGUCAGAAAAAGAAAAAAUGGUGGCAAAGCCUUUUUGAACUGAUGGGCACACUACUCCUGAGGACUACUGUGCACACCUAUGGCUACUGAGUAAACAGUAAUCUGUAGCAACCACUGAAGUUUAGCUCAAGCAUGUGCCACUGAUCAUAUAAAUAAUGAAUGACAUUGGGCUCUGCAAGCCUCCUGAAGCAAUGUGAUUGACUGGCCCAGAAUCCCCACAAACUUUUCUUCUAAUGUCUAAAUUAAGCUUAGAGCUUCCCACUUGGUCUGAACUGAAAGGCUGAACUGAAUCCAUCUAGCAGCUGUCUGGAAAAACGUGCAUCUUGCCUGAAAUCUGGAAGUUCUACAUCACACACAAUGUUACAAUAAUUUUGAAAGCCUUCCAUGUCAACAGGACUGACCAAGUCCUGAUCUCCUAUACAAAGUAGAGAGAAAGAAAAAAGAUACGUGGGAAGAUGACAGAGACUGCAGUAGUCAAUAAGGAUUCUAAAGCACAGCAGCACUAUUUGCUGCAAUGCAAUUUAAAGGACCUCUGUUUUGCUGCAUGGUAUGACAGCUUGUAAGAGACAAGCCCCAAGUGGCUGUACUGUGAGCCCAGGCAGUGCCCCCAGAAGUGAGUCAUAGGGAGGGGCCUGCUGUCACUUCUCUUGAUUUCACUGGUCUCUCAACCACUCCUGGAACUGGGAUGAGUUUUCCAGAAGUCCAGGAACUGGAGCCAAUAAACAGUGACACGUACAAGUCUGGCAGGGACUCUCUCCCUGCACCAAACCCACCCCAUUGGCAGAUCAAGUGCUGGAUCCAGGACUGAUUAUUUUUCCAGCUCUCUCUCUUUCUCUUUUCUCUUUCAAGUUGUUAAAGUGUUAAAGGCCUACCUUGCUUUCACAUAAAGCUGCACAGCUCUGGUAGAAACAACUGUGAGAAUGCCAGCAUUUACAGAUUAUUUGGUCUCUAUGUUCUCAUUAAAGCUGAUGUUUAUGUAC